GCCGGGUGUGGUGGCAUGUGCCUGUAAUCCAAGUCACUGGGAGGCUGAGGUUGGUGGAUCAAGUGAGCUGAGGUGCUCUGGGCUGCAGCACACUAUGUCGAACUGGUGUCCACGCUAAGUUCGGUAUCAAUAUGGUGUUCCUGGGGGGGCCGGGACCACCAGGUUGUCUAAGGAGGGGUGAACCGGCCCAGGUUGGAAACGAAGCAGGUCAAAUCCCCCGUGCUGUCCAGUAGUGGGAUAAUACCUGUGAGUAGAUGCUGCAGUGCAGCCUUGGCAAAACUUUGAGACCUAAUCUUUG
Unclassified non-coding RNA from Oncorhynchus tshawytscha (Chinook salmon), 298 nucleotides. It matches the Rfam family "Metazoan signal recognition particle RNA". From Rfam's summary of the family: The signal recognition particle (SRP) is a universally conserved ribonucleoprotein. It is involved in the co-translational targeting of proteins to membranes. The eukaryotic SRP consists of a 300-nucleotide 7S RNA and six proteins: SRPs 72, 68, 54, 19, 14, and 9. Lineage: Eukaryota; Metazoa; Chordata; Actinopteri; Salmoniformes; Salmonidae. The record is from Ensembl.